Molecule: transfer RNA, 74 nt
Filed under: Akkermansiaceae bacterium
Lineage: Bacteria; Pseudomonadati; Verrucomicrobiota; Verrucomicrobiia; Verrucomicrobiales; Akkermansiaceae
Description: tRNA-Ile
Rfam family: tRNA
About the family: Transfer RNA (tRNA) molecules are approximately 80 nucleotides in length.
Source: RNAcentral
GGGAACGUAGCUCAAUUGGUUAGAGCAUCAAGCUUAUAUCUUGAAGGUAGUGGGUUCGAAUCCCACCGUUCCUA